CCUACGGGAGGCAGCAGUGGGGAAUUUUGCACAAUGGGGGAAACCCUGAUGCAGCGACGCCGCGUGAGUGAAGAAGUCUUUCGGUUCGUAAAGCUCUAUCAGCAGGGAAGAUAAUGACGGUACCUGACUAAGAAGCCCCGGCUAACUACGUGCCAGCAGCCGCGGUAAUACGUAGGUGGCUAGCGUUCUCCGGAUUUACUGGGGGAAAAGGGUGCGUAGGUGGCUGCUUAAGUCAGAGGUCAAAGGCGAGGGCGCAACCGUGGUAAGCCCUGGAAACUGGGGAGCUGGAGUGCAGGAGAGGUAAGCGGAAUUCCUGGUGUAGCGGUGAAAUGCGUAGAUAUCAGGAGGAACACCGGCGGCGAAGGCGGCUUUCUGGACUGUAACUGACGUUGAGGCACGAAAGCGUGGGGAGCAAACAGGAUUAGAUACCCCAGUAGUC
This 439-nucleotide ribosomal RNA is filed under the name uncultured bacterium. RNAcentral describes it as "partial 16S ribosomal RNA". It matches the Rfam family "Bacterial small subunit ribosomal RNA", at positions 338 to 795 of the family's 1533-position model. The record is from RNAcentral.